CCGAGUUUACAACUCCCCAAACCCAAUGUGAACAUACCUCAAGUUGCUUCGGCGGGGAACGCCCCGGCGCGCCCUCCGACCCCUCCCGCCCGCGGGGGGGGGAUCGGGGAGCCUAGCCCGGACCCAGGCGCCCGCCGGAGGUACCCAAACUCUUGUCUUCAGUAUAUUCUUCUGAGUGGCAAACGCAAAAAUAAAUCA
This 198-nucleotide unclassified non-coding RNA is filed under the name soil metagenome. Its description in RNAcentral is "partial internal transcribed spacer 1". The record is from RNAcentral.